RNAcentral lists this ribosomal RNA (456 nucleotides) under uncultured bacterium. RNAcentral describes it as "bacterial SSU rRNA". It matches the Rfam family "Bacterial small subunit ribosomal RNA", at positions 30 to 507 of the family's 1533-position model. The record is from RNAcentral.
AUUGAACGCUGGCGGCAGGCCUAAUACAUGCAAGUCGAACGGUAACAUAAGAAAAGCUUGCUUUUCUUGAUGACGAGUGGCGGACGGGUGAGUAAGAUUUGGGAAGCUACCUGAUAGAGGGGGACAACAGUUGGAAACGACUGCUAAUACCGCAUACAGCCUCAGGGUGAAAGAAGCGAUUCGCUAUCAGAUGUGUCCAAACGGGAUUAGCUAGUAGGUGAGGUAAAGGCUCACCUAGGCGACGAUCUCUAGCUGGUCUGAGAGGUUGAUCGGCCACACUGGGACUGAGACACGGCCCAGACUCCUACGGGAGGCAGCAGUAGGGAAUAUUGCACAAUGGAGGAAACUCUGAUGCAGCCAUGCCGCGUGUGUGAAGAAGGCCUUCGGGUUGUAAAGCACUUUCGGAGGGGAGGAAAGAUGACGUUACCCUCAGAAGAAGCACCGGCUAACUCCGUG